AUGGGCUUUAGGGACUUCCACUCUUUCAAUUUGGCAAUGCUCUCGAAACAAUGUUGGCGACUUAUCACCAACCCAGAUUCUCUUUGUGCUCGAGUUUUGAAAGUAAAAUAUUAUCCAAAUGUAAAUUUACUCCAAGCAACACUGAAAAGCGGAGCAUCAUUUACAUGGCAAAGUAUUAUGAAGGGGUUAGAAACUUUCAAGUUGGGAUAUAUAUGGCGCAUCGAAACUGGAGAGAAUGUGAAUAUAUGGAGUGAUCCUUGGGUGCCAGCCAGCCCGGAUAGGAAGGUUAUCUCAAACCGAGGUCAAACUAUUCUCUCGGUCGUCAGUGAUCUCAUUGACCCUCAUACGGGAGCAUGGGACGAGCCCCUGAUCCGUUCUAUUUUUAAUCCUGUUGACGCUAGAAGGAUCAUGCAAAUCCCAAUUAAUCAUAAUGCAUUUGAUGAUUUUAUUGCCUAGAACCCAGAUCGAAGGGGUAUUUUUUCAGUUCGUUCGGCGUACCGCUUACAAUGGAUUCAAUCUUUUCAGGCGCAUGCAAAUGUAUUGGCACGCCCAGCUGGAUCAAACUUACCGGAAGUAUGGUCUACACUGUGGAAACUGCAGGUUCCACGUAAGAUUCAGAUUUCUUGUUGGCGUGCACUUCAUGGAAUUAUCCCCCUAAGAUCCAUACUCACUAAUAGACAUGUGGGUACCAAUGGCUCAUGUCCGAUUUGUCACCAGGAUGCAGAAGAUGUACGCCAUCUGCUUUUUGACUGUACACAUGCAAAGGAAUUGUGGCUUCGACUGGGUAUACUGGAUAUUGUU
RNAcentral lists this ribosomal RNA (801 nucleotides) under Triticum aestivum (bread wheat). RNAcentral's name for it is "partial small subunit ribosomal RNA". The record is from RNAcentral. Lineage: Eukaryota; Viridiplantae; Streptophyta; Magnoliopsida; Poales; Poaceae.